UCCUACGGGAGGCAGCAGUGGGGAAUCUUGCGCAAUGGGCGAAAGCCUGACGCAGCGACGCCGCGUGCGGGAGGACGCCCUUCGGGGUGUAAACCGCUGUUACCCGGGACGAACCUGGCUUUUCGAGGCCACUGACGGUACCGGGGAAGAAAGCACCGGCUAACUCUGUGCCAGCAG
This 177-nucleotide ribosomal RNA is filed under the name uncultured Gammaproteobacteria bacterium. Its description in RNAcentral is "partial 16S ribosomal RNA". It matches the Rfam family "Bacterial small subunit ribosomal RNA", at positions 337 to 514 of the family's 1533-position model. The record is from RNAcentral. Lineage: Bacteria; Pseudomonadati; Pseudomonadota; Gammaproteobacteria.